This 471-nucleotide ribosomal RNA is filed under the name uncultured Sphingobacteriales bacterium. Its description in RNAcentral is "bacterial SSU rRNA". It matches the Rfam family "Bacterial small subunit ribosomal RNA", at positions 924 to 1382 of the family's 1533-position model. Lineage: Bacteria; Pseudomonadati; Bacteroidota; Sphingobacteriia; Sphingobacteriales. The record is from RNAcentral.
CACAAGCGGUGGAGCACGUGGUUUAAUUCGAUCGCAAACCGAAGAACCUUAACCUGGGUUUUGACAUGUACGUGUUACUGAGGUGAAAGCUGAGGGACCACAUCUUCGGAUGAGGAGCGUACACAGGUGCUGCAUGGCUGUCGUCAGCUCGUGUCGUGAGAUGUUGGGUUAAGUCCCAUAACGAGCGCAACCCCUAUCAUUAGUUGCCAUCAGGUCAAGCUGGGGACUCUAAUGAAACUGCCUACGCAAGUAGUGAGGAAGGUGGGGAUGACGUCAAAUCAGCACGGCCCUUACGUCCAGGGCUACACACGUGCUACAAUGGCCGGUACAAAGGGCAGCUACCUGGUGACAGGAUGCUAAUCUCAAAAGCCGGUCUCAGUUCGGAUCGGAGUCUGCAACCCGACUCCGUGAAGCUGGAUUCGCUAGUAAUCGCGCAUCAGCCACGGCGCGGUGAAUACGUUCCCGGGCCUU